RNAcentral lists this ribosomal RNA (755 nucleotides) under uncultured bacterium. RNAcentral's name for it is "bacterial SSU rRNA". It matches the Rfam family "Bacterial small subunit ribosomal RNA", at positions 28 to 776 of the family's 1533-position model. The record is from RNAcentral.
AUUGAACGCUGGCGGCAGGCUUAACACAUGCAAGUCGAGCGGAAACGAUACCAGCUUGCUGGUAGGCGUCGAGCGGCGGACGGGUGAGUAACACUUAGGAAUCUACCUAGUAGUGGGGGAUAGCUCGGGGAAACUCGAAUUAAUACCGCAUACGACCUACGGGAGAAAGGGGGCAGUUUACUGCUCUCGCUAUUAGAUGAGCCUAAGUCGGAUUAGCUAGAUGGUGGGGUAAAGGCCUACCAUGGCGACGAUCUGUAGCUGGUCUGAGAGGAUGAUCAGCCACACCGGGACUGAGACACGGCCCGGACUCCUACGGGAGGCAGCAGUGGGGAAUAUUGGACAAUGGGGGCAACCCUGAUCCAGCCAUGCCGCGUGUGUGAAGAAGGCCUUUUGGUUGUAAAGCACUUUAAGCAGUGAAGAAGACCAUAUGGUUAAUACCCAUAUGCGAUGACAUUAGCUGCAGAAUAAGCACCGGCUAACUCUGUGCCAGCAGCCGCGGUAAUACAGAGGGUGCAAGCGUUAAUCGGAAUUACUGGGCGUAAAGCGAGCGUAGGUGGCUUGAUAAGUCAGAUGUGAAAUCCCCGGGCUUAACCUGGGAACUGCAUCUGAUACUGUUAAGCUAGAGUAGGUGAGAGGGAAGUAGAAUUCCAGGUGUAGCGGUGAAAUGCGUAGAGAUCUGGAGGAAUACCGAUGGCGAAGGCAGCUUCCUGGCAUCAUACUGACACUGAGGCUCGAAAGCGUGGGUAGCAAACAGG